Molecule: ribosomal RNA, 1313 nt
Filed under: Apodemus speciosus (large Japanese field mouse)
Lineage: Eukaryota; Metazoa; Chordata; Mammalia; Rodentia; Muridae
Description: SSU rRNA
Source: RNAcentral
CCUGGUUGAUCCUGCCAGUAGUUAUAUGCUUGUCUCAAAGCUUAAGCCAUGCAAGUCUCAGUACGAGCUGACUUAAAGUGAAACCGCAAAAGGCUCAGUAAACCGGUCAUAGUUUACCGGAUAUAUGCCACUUACGUGGAUAACUGUGGUAAUUCUAGAGCUAAUACAUGAGAACAAGUCCCGACCAGCGAUGGAAAGGACGCUUUUAUUGGAUCAAAACCAUUCGCCCGGCUCGCCCGGGCGUCUGCUUGAUGACUCUAGAUAACACCACAGAUCGCACGGUCACAGUACCGGCGACGUAUCCGUCAAAUGUCUGACUUAUCAGCUGUCGAUGGUAGACUCUGUGUCUACCAUGGCGCUCACGGGUAACGGGGAAUCAGGGUUCGAUUCCGGAGAGGGAGCCUGAGAAACGGCUACCACAUCCAAGGAAGGCAGCAGGCACGCAAAUUACCCACUCCCGGCACGGGGAGGUAGUGACAAAAAAUAACGAUACGGGACUCAUCCGAGGCCCCGUAAUCGGAAUGAGAACACCCUAAAUCCUUUAACGAGGAUCYAUUGGAGGGCAAGUCUGGUGCCAGCAGCCGCGGUAAUUCCAGCUCCAAUAGCGUAUAUUAAAGUUGUUGCGGUUAAAAAGCUCGUAGUUGGUUCUGCGUGCCACGCUGUCGGUUCACCGCCUGUCGGUGCAACUGGCAUGCCGUGGCAUGUCCUGUCGGUGGCCGACGGGCUUCGCGGMGCGCCCCACUCGCUCACGCGUGUGGGUCGACGCGCCGUGUCGUCCUCGUUGGCCGGCUCAAUCCUACCGCGGUGCUCUUAAACGAGUGUCGAGGUAGGCCGACACUGUUUACUUUGAACAAAUUAGAGUGCUUCAAGCAGGCUCUGAAAGCAGCCUGAAUAGUGGUGCAUGGAAUAAUGGAACAGGACCUUGGUUCUAUUUUGUUGGUUUUCGGAAUCCAAGGUAAUGAUCAAUAAGGACAGGCGGGGGCAUUCGUAUUGCGACGUUAGAGGUGAAAUUCUUGGAUCGUCGCAAGACGCACUAGAGCGAAAGCAUUUGCCAAGUAUGUCUUAAUUGAUCAAGAACGAAAGUUAGAGGUUCGAAGGCGAUCAGAUACCGCCCUAGUUCUAACCAUAAACGAUGCCAGCCAGCGAUCCGCCGAUGUUCCUCCGAUGACUCGGCGGGGAGCUUUCCCCGGGAAACCAAAGCUUUUGGGUUCCGGGGGAAGUAUGGUUGCAAAGCUGAAACUUAAAGGAAUUGACGGAAGGGCACCACCAGGAGUGGAGCCUGCGGCUUAAUUUGACUCAACACGGGAAACCUC